Molecule: ribosomal RNA, 495 nt
Filed under: Cassava witches'-broom aster yellows phytoplasma
Lineage: Bacteria; Bacillati; Mycoplasmatota; Mollicutes; Acholeplasmatales; Acholeplasmataceae
Description: bacterial SSU rRNA
Rfam family: Bacterial small subunit ribosomal RNA
Source: RNAcentral
CGCUGAGGCACGAAAGCGUGGGGAGCAAACAGGAUUAGAUACCCUGGUAGUCCACGCCGUAAACGAUGAGUACUAAAUGUUGGGUAAAACCAGUGUUGAAGUUAACACAUUAAGUACUCCGCCUGAGUAGUACGUACGCAAGUAUGAAACUUAAAGGGAUUGACGGGACUCCGCACAAGCGGUGGAUCAUGUUGUUUAAUUCGAAGGUACCCGAAAAACCUCACCAGGUCUUGACAUGCUUCUGCAAAGCUGUAGAAGCACAGUGGAGGUUAUCAGUUGCACAGGUGGUGCAUGGUUGUCGUCAGCUCGUGUCGUGAGGUGUUGGGUUAAGUCCCGCAACGAGCGCAACCCUUAUUGUUAGUUGCCGGCACGUAAUGGUGGGGACUUUAGCAAGACUGCCAGUGAUAAAUUGGAGGAAGGUGGGGACGACGUCAAAUCAUCAUGCCCCUUAUGACCUGGGCUACAAACGUGGUACAAUGGCUGUUACAAAGGGUA